Molecule: transfer RNA, 67 nt
Filed under: Panesthia parva
Lineage: Eukaryota; Metazoa; Arthropoda; Insecta; Blattodea; Blaberidae
Description: tRNA-His
Source: RNAcentral
AUUAAGUAGUUUAAUUAAAAUAUCGAUUUGUGGUGUCGGAGUUGUAAAGAUCUAAUUACCUUAAGUU